Molecule: ribosomal RNA, 497 nt
Filed under: uncultured bacterium
Lineage: Bacteria
Description: partial 16S ribosomal RNA
Rfam family: Bacterial small subunit ribosomal RNA
Source: RNAcentral
GAUGAACGCUGGCGGCGUGCCUAAUACAUGCAAGUCGAGCGAACAGACGAGGAGCUUGCUCCUCUGACGUUAGCGGCGGACGGGUGAGUAACACGUGGAUAACCUACCUAUAAGACUGGGAUAACUUCGGGAAACCGGAGCUAAUACCGGAUAAUAUAUUGAACCGCAUGGUUCAAUAGUGAAAGACGGUUUUGCUGUCACUUAUAGAUGGAUCCGCGCCGCAUUAGCUAGUUGGUAAGGUAACGGCUUACCAAGGCAACGAUGCGUAGCCGACGUGAGAGGGUGAUCGGCCACACGAGAACUGAGACACGGUCCAGACUCCUACGGGAGGCAGCAGUAGGGAAUCUUCCGCAAUGGGCGAAAGCCUGACGGAGCAACGCCGCGUGAGUGAUGAAGGUCUUCGGAUCGUAAAACUCUGUUAUUAGGGAAGAACAAAUGUGUAAGUAACUAUGCACGUCUUGACGGUACCUAAUCAGAAAGCCACGGCUAACUACGUG